This 253-nucleotide ribosomal RNA is filed under the name uncultured bacterium. RNAcentral's name for it is "partial 16S ribosomal RNA". It matches the Rfam family "Bacterial small subunit ribosomal RNA", at positions 524 to 776 of the family's 1533-position model. The record is from RNAcentral.
UACGUAGGGUGCAAGCGUUGUCCGGAAUUAUUGGGCGUAAAGAGCUCGUAGGCGGUCUGUCGCGUCGGAUGUGAAAACCCGGGGCUUAACCCCGGGCCUGCAUUCGAUACGGGCAGACUCGAGUGUGGUAGGGGAGACUGGAACUCCUGGUGUAGCGGUGAAAUGCGCAGAUAUCAGGAAGAACACCGGUGGCGAAGGCGGGUCUCUGGGCCACUACUGACGCUGAGGGACGAAAGCUAGGGGAGCAAACGGG